RNAcentral lists this transfer RNA (49 nucleotides) under Ebenavia inunguis. RNAcentral's name for it is "tRNA-Leu". Lineage: Eukaryota; Metazoa; Chordata; Lepidosauria; Squamata; Gekkonidae. The record is from RNAcentral.
ACUUUUAAAGGACAAUAGUACUCCACUAACCUUAGGCGUUAUCACUUCU